This 200-nucleotide ribosomal RNA is filed under the name uncultured bacterium. Its description in RNAcentral is "partial 16S ribosomal RNA". It matches the Rfam family "Bacterial small subunit ribosomal RNA", at positions 328 to 539 of the family's 1533-position model. The record is from RNAcentral.
ACGCUCGACACCUACGGGAGGCAGCAGUGGGGAAUAUUGCACAAAUGGGGGAAACCCGUGAUGCAGCGACGCCGCGUGGAGGAAGAAGGUCUUCGGAUUGUAAACUCCUGUUGUUGGGGAAAAAGAGGAUGGUACCCAACAAGGAAGUGACGGCUAACUACGUGCCGGCAGCCGCGGUAAUCUGAGCGGGCUGGCAAGGC